RNAcentral lists this ribosomal RNA (538 nucleotides) under uncultured Methylocystaceae bacterium. RNAcentral's name for it is "bacterial SSU rRNA". It matches the Rfam family "Bacterial small subunit ribosomal RNA", at positions 97 to 670 of the family's 1533-position model. The record is from RNAcentral. Lineage: Bacteria; Pseudomonadati; Pseudomonadota; Alphaproteobacteria; Hyphomicrobiales; Methylocystaceae.
GGCAGACGGGAGAGUAACACGUGGGAACGCGCCCUUCGGUUCGGAAUAACUCAGGGAAACUUGGGCUAAUACCGAAUACGCCCUUACGGGGAAAGAUUUAUUGCCGAAGGAACGGCCCGCGUCCGAUUAGCUUGUUGGUGAGGUAACGGCUCACCAAGGCGACGAUCGGUAGCUGGUCUGAGAGGAUGACCAGCCUCACUGGGACUGAGACACGGCCCAGACUCCUACGGGAGGCAGCAGUGGGGAAUAUUGGACAAUGGGCGCAAGCCUGAUCCAGCCAUGCCGCGUGGGUGAUGAAGGCCCUAGGGUUGUAAAGCCCUUUCGGCGGGGAAGAUAAUGACGGUACCCGCAGAAGAAGCCCCGGCUAACUUCGUGCCAGCAGCCGCGGUAAUACGAAGGGGGCUAGCGUUGCUCGGAAUUACUGGGCGUAAAGCGCACGUAGGCGGCUUCUUAAGUCGGAGGUGAAAUCCUGGAGCUCAACUCCAGAACUGCCUUCGAUACUGGGAAGCUCGAGUCCGGGAGAGGUGAGUGGAACUGC